Pseudopipra pipra is the source of this 3275-nucleotide long non-coding RNA. RefSeq lists it as uncharacterized. NCBI's taxonomy places the organism in Eukaryota, Metazoa, Chordata, Aves, Passeriformes, Pipridae. The transcript has 3 exons. The record is from RefSeq and is a predicted model, not a curated record.
CGCCCCGGCCGUGCCCCGCUGUGCCCGCCCCCGGCCCGCCCCCGCGGCGGCGGAGCCGGCACAGGCACCGCCCCCGCCCGGCCCGGCCCGCCGGAGUGACGGCCGUGUUCGCUUUCCCCAGGGCUGGGGCGUCCGUAUUUAUAUCCACCGAUGAGAUCCCCUCUGAGCCUUCUCUGCUCCGAGCUGAAGGGUCCCAGACCUUGGAGACUUUCCUCAAGGAGAGAUGCUCCAGUCCCUUCAUCACCUUGGUGGCCCAUUGUUGGACUCUCUCCAACCUCCAAACCAGUGAAGAGCUGAUGAUAGAAGCACUGCCUAUAUUGAUCUGAAGGACAUGGAAUGGGGCAAAAGGAAUAGGGGAAGAUACUAUCACUGCAGUGGAGAAGAUCUGAUGGAGAAUGAAAAUGGGCAUCUUUUUAUUUCAAAGAAUACAGUUACAGAAAAAUUGAGAGAAGAAUUAAGCUUCUUAAUUAUGUUAUAAGCACACAGCUUCUUCUGGAAGCUAAUAUGGCAGAAGUAUUUUUUAAAAUAAACAAGAUGAAAUGAGGUUUCUUGGGAACAGCAAAAUAACAUGCUGGUAAAUCUCUUGGUUAAUUAUGAAAUGAAAAAGAUAACAAAAACCAAUAAGCUAGUAGUCUGAAGGUAUCUCUGGAACAGAUGAACAGUUACACAUAACAACUUUGGAGAAAGCUUGACGAGAUUAAAUUGGAAGAUUAUCAUGGCAUCCCUAUCAUUAAUGCCAUCUUCAUUACAUCAUCCUCAAAUCAAAGGAAAUGAGAAGGGAACAUCAAUAUGAGAUUUAGAAGAAAGAUACUCCUGGGGGAUCAAAUAUUUUAUAUUUGUCAGCUACUCAAGAAAAACAUGGAAAAUAAUAUUAAAUAUAUUUAUUUUGUAGAAUCGGGGGGGGGGGGGGAAGAAACACACCAUGACAUUCUGUAAAAUAGCCUUGGGUUUUGUUGAAAAGUUAGGAAUCUCAAAAUAUUUAAAUGAUAAAAUUAGAUGUUUGAAGCUGAAAAAUACACUAUAUAGAUAAAGAGGGAAAUCACCGUAUCAGUUUAGGAAUACUCUGGGAUGUUCUGUAUCUUCUUUAAAAUUACUACUUAAAAUGAUUUAAGAGAAGAUAAAAUUUUCAGAAUAUCAAGUACAGAAGAGUUCCACCAUCUCUUUAGACAUGUUAAUAACAUGGUUAUGAUACAAGAUAUUUAAGAUGUGGAAAAAAUAAUUAUUGGAUUUGAACAAAAGAAUUUAAGAUCAACAAGUAGAAGAAACUUAUUAUUGUACGCUGACAAAUUAUAUUAGCCACCAGCCUGUAAACAUAAAUAUCAGUAAGUUAAAACAAUUUAAAUGCCUACAAGCAUUAACUGAGAAUUUUUUGGGGACAGCGUAUAUUAAGGCCUGGGUGCAAAGACAGAAUGCUUCUAAUUAUUCUUCAGAUAAUUUCAGCACUAAAAAUUAAUUGUGAAAUACUUUCUAUAUAAAAGACACUUAAAAGUGUUGGUUUUUACAGAUGGAACAUUUGAGUAAGAAAGACAAUUCAAUGUAUUACAAAAUUAAGUACCUAUUUAUAUUUGGGUUAGUGAAUUUUGUUUUUCAUUAAAUUUAUAGGAACAUAAUUGUCAUUUGAAUUUUCCAUUCCUUCUUUGAAAAUACCUUGAAAUAAUAAUUAGGUUCAAAAGGAAGAAUACACUUAUGUGUCAUUUUCAUAGAAAAUAGGCUGGUUUCACUUUCCCUAAACAUUUUCCACUUUGAGUUUUUGAAGGAUCAUCACCUCUCAAGGACCACUGAAGAUUCAAUGUUGUUUAACAGAACUAAAAAUUUGAGACAGUCAUACCAACCAAAAAAAAAAAAGUUGCAGCGUGUAAUGCAAUGCUGUACAAUACUGAUGCAGCUGUUUUUCUUACUAAAGCAAUCUGAGGACUGAUGAACAUCGAAAUACUGAGUUGCAAAUUAUCCCUUUGAUAUUGUCACGGUUCAUUGAAGCUGAAAGAAGCUGUGCACUUCAAGGAGUGAAAUCUGUGCGGCGUCUUUUUUUUUCACCCUUUGAGCAUCUAACAUGAGGAUAUUUGCAGCCUGAAAGUUGUUAGUUUAUCAACUAGUUUUUAGACAUGACCUGCUUGAAAAUGCAGUGCUGUAACAAAAAGGGUAAAGAAGUAUAAGCAAACCCAGUCAAGUAAUUUGUGUUGCUCUUUUUCUCAGAAGUAUUUGCUGAUGAUAACCUUAGUCUUUUUGUGUGCAUAAAUUAUAUACAAAUGGGCAAUGGAAAGAGCACUUCCGGGCAUUUACAGAGCAGCCAGAGUAGGGGAAAGCCAGUACAGUGCUCAGGAGUGAUCCAGCUGGCAGCUGGCAUCUGGCAUGUGUCCUAGCCAUCAAGUUUCCUCCUGCUUUAAGGAAGAAGUCUUUGUCCUGUACUUAUUCAGUUAUUCAGGCCAAUAUAUUUUUAAAAAUAGAUCCUAAAAAUGUAUUUUUAAAAAUUAGGCCCGAAAUCCAUACAUUCAACUUAAGGAAAUCGAACUUUCUAAAUUAUUAGGCAUCUGGAAAUUUCCCCAUCAGCUGGCUGGACUACAUAUUAAGAAAUCAAACGUACCAAGGCUGUUCUCUGGAACUAAAGGCAAUUGUCAUGGAGCAGCCCCCACCCCCACAGCUAUGAGACUAGGCUGUCCAGAACAGGGUGCCCUGACCUAAAUUGCCUGUUGGGAACGGUCCCUUACCCAUGGCGUUACCCAAACCAUUCCUGGGAACUGUUAAAAAGCUGGCAAAGUCCAGACUUCUCCAAUGGAUUGUACUUGCAUAUUAAUGAUAUAAAGCAUUAAAUUAAAGUGCCUGAGUAUUCUCUCCAGUAUUUUUCAAUGGCUAUCACAGACAUGGCUAGUAAGUACUCCUAGGUGCUCAGGAUUUCUAAACACAGAGCCUAUUGUUUUAUUUUUUUUUUUUUUUUAACUAUUUCACUGUUCCUGUUUGGUAAAGAUUAGCCUAAGUCACUUUAUUAAUUUUCUAAUCUCAGUGAGAAAAAACCUUCCAUCAUAUCCUUCCCACUAGACUAGGAUGUUCUUUCCAGCUUUUCACCACCUCACUUUCUCAGAUAUGGGGUUAACAUUAGCCUGUGAAAGUUAAAAUUUAUGCAGUCCUUUGUGAAUUCGGUCUUGUUCCAUGUACUGUACUUUUUAGGCAGGCAGACCACAAUCCUCUUGCUUGUAUUAAACAAUAUCUUAAUCUAAGUAGUCCAGUGGCAUCAGUGUGUUUGGUUUUGGUGGAAAUAAAUAACAAUGGUGAAAAACACU